This 275-nucleotide ribosomal RNA is filed under the name Harpactea fageli. RNAcentral's name for it is "partial 12S ribosomal RNA". Lineage: Eukaryota; Metazoa; Arthropoda; Arachnida; Araneae; Dysderidae. The record is from RNAcentral.
GACCUCUCUUCUCAAAGGAACUCGUUUUUUAAUCGACAAUACUCGCUAAAUCUUACUUGCUAAUUAUUUUCAAGCCUAUAUACCGCCGUUUUAAAAUUAACUUUACAAACUAUAAUUACAUUCAGUUUUUAGCAAAUCAGGUCAAGGUGUAGCUAAUAAGCAAGCUAAAAUAAGUUACGCUAAAAAAAAUUUUUGGAAAAACUCCUAAUGGCUUUCUUAAAUCGGAUUUGACUACAAAUUUAAUAUAAUAACUUAAAAUGAACCAGCUAGUACUC